CAGGAUCAGAUAUUCUCAGCCAGUUAUAAAUAAUUCAUAGUGGCUGUAUUCAUUCAUUGCUGCAACACAGACAACUGCAACAGUGACACUUUAGCCUUUCCUGAUAUUGAGCCAAAUGGCCUGAACUGUUCCACCUGCUAUCAAAACUUCUGCAAUACGCUGAAGUGUGUUGGCACACAGGACCGCUGCUUCCAUGGAACUGAUACCUUUCAAUUCCACGGCUGUGUGUCUGCAAACGUGUGCGAACAACGAUAUGAACGGCCAGACGGUUAUUUGUUGUCGAAUUUUCCUUUAGGUGUCGAUGCAUUAAAGUGUUGGAAAGCUUCCCUGCGUGAUUCAGCUCUGACCACCAGACUGAGUUUGUUUCUGUUCC
Molecule: long non-coding RNA, 373 nt
Organism: Cheilinus undulatus (humphead wrasse)
Lineage: Eukaryota; Metazoa; Chordata; Actinopteri; Labriformes; Labridae
Exons: 3
Source: RefSeq, a predicted model, not a curated record